AUUGAACGCUGGCGGCAGGCCUAACACAUGCAAGUCGAAUGGUAACAGGAAACAGCUUGCUGUUUCGCUGACGAGUGGCGGACGGGUGAGUAAUGUCUGGGAAACUGCCUGAUGGAGGGGGAUAACUACUGGAAACGGUAGCUAAUACCGCAUAACGUCGCAAGACCAAAGAGGGGGACCUUCGGGCCUCUUGCCAUCAGAUGUGCCCAGAUGGGAUUAGCUAGUAGGUGGGGUAACGGCUCACCUAGGCGACGAUCCCUAGCUGGUCUGGGAGGAUGACCAGCCACACUGGAACUGAGACACGGUCCAGACUCCUACGGGAGGCAGCAGUGGGGAAUAUUGCACAGUGGGCGCAAGCCUGAUGCAGCCAUGCCGCGUGUAUGAAGAAGGCCUUCGGGUUGUAAAGUACUUUCAGCGGGGAGGAAGGGAGUAAAGUUAAUACCUUUGCUCAUUGACGUUACCCGCAGAAGAAGCACCGGCUAACUCCGUG
This 490-nucleotide ribosomal RNA is filed under the name uncultured bacterium. Its description in RNAcentral is "partial 16S ribosomal RNA". It matches the Rfam family "Bacterial small subunit ribosomal RNA", at positions 30 to 507 of the family's 1533-position model. The record is from RNAcentral.